UAUAACAUUCGCUCCUAUUCUCUGUUUAUUCUCCUUCACCACACCAAACCUCACACCACUUCACAUGACCACAGACCACCGCCACCGCCACCUCUGCAGAUCGCCAGCGCCAUCGCUAUUGCUGCAGAGCACAGAUUGACAUUGCCCACUACUCCUUGAACAACUACUCUGCACCUCAUGUUCCACAAAAUGUUAAUGCAUGUCCAACACUAUUUGUGGCAAAUUUGGGGCCAACUUGUUCAGAGCAAGAGCUAAUUCAAGUCUUUUCAAGUUGCCAUGGAUUUAUAAAAUUGAAGAUGCAAAGCACAUAUGGAACUCCGGUGGCAUUUGUUGAUUUUCAGAUACUUUGUUACUGUCAUUGAAAAGCUAAAACAAGAACUCAUGAUGGGUCCAUGUUUGUAUGUCUUUCAUUAGUUAAUAUAAUUUUUGUUGUGGUACAGAAGUUGUAAGUAUACAAUUAAUUUGGUUAUUCAUGUAUUAUGUAUGGAAUUAAAAUAUUGACGUUGGAUUAGACUUGGUUCUUAUGAAAUUUGUAAUAUAUAUAUAUAUAUAUAAUUGGACGUUCAAUAUUAAUUAUUUGGAUGGUUGCAAUUGAAA
Non-coding RNA from Camellia sinensis, 597 nucleotides. The record is from RefSeq and is a predicted model, not a curated record. Lineage: Eukaryota; Viridiplantae; Streptophyta; Magnoliopsida; Ericales; Theaceae.